This 235-nucleotide ribosomal RNA is filed under the name Streptococcus agalactiae. RNAcentral describes it as "partial 16S ribosomal RNA". It matches the Rfam family "Bacterial small subunit ribosomal RNA", at positions 1 to 225 of the family's 1533-position model. Lineage: Bacteria; Bacillati; Bacillota; Bacilli; Lactobacillales; Streptococcaceae. The record is from RNAcentral.
UUUUAAUGAGAGUUUGAUCCUGGCUCAGGACGAACGCUGGCGGCGUGCCUAAUACAUGCAAGUAGAACGCUGAUGUUUGGUGUUUACACUAGACUGAUGAGUUGCGAACGGGUGAGUAACGCGUAGGUAACCUGCCUCAUAGCGGGGGAUAACUAUUGGAAACGAUAGCUAAUACCGCAUAAGAGUGAUUAACACAUGUUAGUUAUUUAAAAGGAGCAAUUGCUUCACUGUGAGA